Molecule: long non-coding RNA, 537 nt
Organism: Podarcis raffonei (Aeolian wall lizard)
Lineage: Eukaryota; Metazoa; Chordata; Lepidosauria; Squamata; Lacertidae
Exons: 2
Source: RefSeq, a predicted model, not a curated record
UGUUCUGCGGAAUCAGCAGGGGAGCAUCAUUCCAGAUUCAUACUUCUAAACUCUUAGGUAAAUCUGUGGCAAGGAAUACCACAUAGCAGGCAUGUGCUCAGGGUGUGAUUUGUGAAUAAAACAAGCCCAAGCAAGAAUGCUGCCAGAACGAGGGUCGGGCACAAGUUAGGGCCAAUCUCUCUCAACGUUCUGUUUUAAGCUUGCUGGAACAUCCUGCAUGUUGCAGCGUGCCACUGCUCUGCCUUAUCACUGCUCUGCUACUUUUAGGAUGCAUAAUCUUUCUGUGCAACCAGAGAGGUGUGGGAGAGGAACGUCCCUUGAACUUAAAGUGAAAAGGGGAAUCUAUGUGAGUUCAUCAUCCUGGGGAUUAUGAUUUCCUUCUCUAACAGGCUGAUGAUCAACGCUAAAGGGGGAGAUCGCUGAGAAUGCAUCAUAUCAGCUUUCAGCGUCAUUGGGAAAGGCUUCUGGGAAUCUCAGCGCACAACAAUAUACAAUAUGUAACCUAUUAUUACCUAUUAAAUGCCUGAUGUCAGACUA